RNAcentral lists this ribosomal RNA (417 nucleotides) under uncultured bacterium. RNAcentral's name for it is "partial 16S ribosomal RNA". It matches the Rfam family "Bacterial small subunit ribosomal RNA", at positions 360 to 774 of the family's 1533-position model. The record is from RNAcentral.
AAUAUUGGUCAAUGGAGGCAACUCUGAACCAGCCAAGUCGCGUGAAGGAUGACGGCCCUACGGGUUGUAAACUUCUUUUUUAAGGGAGUAAAGUUAGCCACGUGUGGCCGUUUGCAUGUACCUUACCAAUAUGGAUCGGCUAACGCCACUCCAGCAGCCGCGGUAAUACGGAGGAUCCGAUCGUUAUCCGGAUUUAUUGGGCUUAAAGGGUGCGCAGGCGGAAUAUUAAGGAGGCGGUGAAAGUUUGCAGCUUAACUGUAAAAUUGCCGUUGAUACUGGUAUUCUUGAGUGUAUAUGAAGUAGGCGGAAUUUGUAGUGUAGCGGUGAAAUGCAUAGAUAUUACGAGGAACUCCGAUUGCGAAGGCAGCUUACUAAAUUACAACUGACGCUUAGGCACGAAGGCGUGGGUAUCAAACA